Molecule: long non-coding RNA, 566 nt
Organism: Mastomys coucha (southern multimammate mouse)
Lineage: Eukaryota; Metazoa; Chordata; Mammalia; Rodentia; Muridae
Exons: 2
Source: RefSeq, a predicted model, not a curated record
AAGGGAGAAGAGGUUUGUGUUCACUUACAGUUCAAGGAUAUUGCCCUUCAUGAUGGGGGGAGUCAAGGCACCAGGAGCUGGAAGCAGCUAGCCAUGUUACAUCCUUACAUCCACAGUCAGAAGAGAGUGAUGGAUGUCUGCCUGCACGUGAGUGCUCAGCUUGCUUUCUCCAUCCUGACACAGCUGAGGGUCCCCUGCCCAGGGGAAUGGUGCCACCCACAGUAGGCAAGUCUUCCCACGAUGCCCCGCAACAGACAUGCCCAGAGGCCAGUCUCCUAGCCUUUGUUCUUGAUGACUGACACUAACCAUCUGGGAAAUCUUAGCUUAAUUUUGGCCAGGGCCUCACUUCUAGCAACCAAUCAGACUGAUUUACCCUUUAAAGAACCUGCAUUUGCCCAGGGGAGUGGGAUGGACCGUCACCCUGCAGCCUGUGCUUCUGCUAGAAUCAAUACAUGAUACUAACGUGUGCCCCUCAGCUGCUGAACAAGCAUUUGUAGCUUGUACAUUGGCAGAAUGGGCCAAAGGCUUAUGUUGUGACCCAUUUUGAAAAUAAAGUAUCUUGAAAU